GAUGAAGAACGUAGCGAAAUGCGAUAAGUAAUGUGAGUUGCAGAAUUCAGUGAAUCAUCGAAUCUUUGAACGCACAUUGCGCCCUCUGGUAUUCCGGGGGGCAUGCCUGUUCGAGCGUCAUUAUAACCACUCAAGCUCUCGCUUGGUAUUGGGGUUCGCGGUUUCGCGGCCCCUAAAAUCAGUGGCGGUGCCUGUCGGCUCUACGCGUAGUAAUACUUCUCGCGAUUGAGUUCGAUAGGUCUACUUGCCAGUAACCCCCAAUUUUUACAGGUUGACCUCGGAUCAGGUAGGGAUACCCGCUGAACUUAAGCAUAUCAAUAAGCGGAGGA
This 329-nucleotide unclassified non-coding RNA is filed under the name soil metagenome. Its description in RNAcentral is "partial contains 5.8S ribosomal RNA, internal transcribed spacer 2, and large subunit ribosomal RNA". The stretch from base 1 to 120 matches the Rfam family "5.8S ribosomal RNA", at positions 35 to 154 of the family's 154-position model. The record is from RNAcentral.